RNAcentral lists this ribosomal RNA (203 nucleotides) under uncultured bacterium. RNAcentral describes it as "partial 16S ribosomal RNA". It matches the Rfam family "Bacterial small subunit ribosomal RNA", at positions 1301 to 1500 of the family's 1533-position model. The record is from RNAcentral.
UAGGCUGAAACUACGCCUACAUGAAGCUGGAGUUGCUAGUAAUCGCGAAUCAGCAUGUCGCGGUGAAUACGUUCCCGGGCCUUGUACACACCGCCCGUCACACCAUGAGAGUUGGCAAUACCCAACGUACGUGAUCUAACCCGCAAGGGAGGAAGCGUCCUAAGGUAGGGUCAGCGAUUGGGGUGAAGUCGUAACAAGGUAGC